CCUACGGGAGGCAGCAGUGAGGAAUAUUGGUCAAUGGCCGGAAGGCUGAACCAGCCAAGCCGCGUGAAGGACGCAGGUGCCAAGCAUUGUAAACUUCUUUUGUGAGAGAAGAUAAUGACGGUAUCUCACGAAUAAGCACCGGCUAACUCCGUGCCAGCAGCCGCGGUAAUACGGAGGGUGCAAGCGUUACUCGGAAUCACUGGGCGUAAAGAGUGCGCAGGCGGGCUUGUAAGUCAGAUGUGAAAUCCUGUAGCUUAACUACAGAACUGCAUUUGAAACUAUGAGUCUAGAGUGUGGGAGAGGUAGGUGGAAUUCUUGGUGUAGGGGUAAAAUCCGUAGAGAUCAAGAGGAAUACUCAUUGCGAAGGCGACCUACUGGAACAUUACUGACGCUCAUGCACGAAAGCGUGGGGAGCAAACAGGAUUAGAUACCCCUGUAGUC
Molecule: ribosomal RNA, 441 nt
Filed under: uncultured bacterium
Lineage: Bacteria
Description: partial 16S ribosomal RNA
Rfam family: Bacterial small subunit ribosomal RNA
Source: RNAcentral